RNAcentral lists this ribosomal RNA (494 nucleotides) under uncultured bacterium. RNAcentral's name for it is "partial 16S ribosomal RNA". It matches the Rfam family "Bacterial small subunit ribosomal RNA", at positions 28 to 507 of the family's 1533-position model. The record is from RNAcentral.
GACGAACGCUGGCGGCGUGCUUAACACAUGCAAGUCGAACGGAAAGGCCUGCUUUCCCUUGUGGAUUGCGGGUACUCGAGUGGCGAACGGGUGAGUAACACGUGAGUGAUCUGCCCCCAACUUGGGUAUAAGCCUGGGAAACUGGGUCUAAUUCCCGAUAGGACUGCAGGGUGGUGCCUGUGGUGGAAAACGAUUUUCUAGUGGUUGGGGAUGAGCUCGCGGCCUAUCAGCUUGUUGGUGGGGUAAUGGCCUACCAAGGCGGCAUCGGGUAGGCGGCCUGGGAGGGUGGACGGGCGCAUUGGGACGGAGAUACGGCCCAGACGCCUACGGGAGGAAGCAGUGGGGAAGAAGGAACAAGGGGCGGAAGCCUGAUGCAGGGACGCUGCGUGAGGAAUGACGGGCGUGGGGUGGUAAACUCCUUGCGACCGAGAGCAAGCCACUUGGUUGGAAGGGUGGUGACGGUAGUGGUAGAAGAAGCACCGGCUAACUACGUG